Molecule: ribosomal RNA, 961 nt
Filed under: Tolypocladium ophioglossoides
Lineage: Eukaryota; Fungi; Ascomycota; Sordariomycetes; Hypocreales; Ophiocordycipitaceae
Description: eukaryotic LSU rRNA
Rfam family: Eukaryotic large subunit ribosomal RNA
Source: RNAcentral
GUUGACCUCGGAUCAGGUAGGAAUACCCGCUGAACUUAAGCAUAUCAAUAAGCGGAGGAAAAGAAACCAACAGGGAUUGCCCCAGUAACGGCGAGUGAAGCGGCAACAGCUCAAAUUUGAAAUCUGGCCCCUAGGGCCCGAGUUGUAAUUUGCAGAGGAUGCUUUUGGCGCGGCGCCUUCCGAGUUCCCUGGAACGGGACGCCAUAGAGGGUGAGAGCCCCGUCUGGUCGGACGCCAAGCCAGUGUAAAGCUCCUUCGACGAGUCGAGUAGUUUGGGAAUGCUGCUCUAAAUGGGAGGUAUAUGUCUUCUAAAGCUAAAUAUUGGCCAGAGACCGAUAGCGCACAAGUAGAGUGAUCGAAAGAUGAAAAGCACUUUGAAAAGAGGGUUAAACAGUACGUGAAAUUGUUGAAAGGGAAGCGCUUGUGACCAGACUUGGGCCCGGUGAAUCAUCCAGCGUUCUCGCUGGUGCACUUCGCCGGGCUCAGGCCAGCAUCAGUUCGCCGCGGGGGAUAAAAGUUUCGGGAACGUGGCUCCCUCGGGAGUGUUAUAGCCCGUUGCACAAUACCCUGCGGUGGACUGAGGUUCGCGCUCCGCAAGGAUGCUGGCGUAAUGGUCAUCAGCGACCCGUCUUGAAACACGGACCAAGGAGUCGUCUUCGUAUGCGAGUGUUCGGGUGUCAAACCCCUACGCGUAAUGAAAGUGAACGCAGGUGAGAGCUUCGGCGCAUCAUCGACCGAUCCUGAUGUUCUCGGAUGGAUUUGAGUAAGAGCAUACGGGGCCGGACCCGAAAGAAGGUGAACUAUGCCUGUAUAGGGUGAAGCCAGAGGAAACUCUGGUGGAGGCUCGCAGCGGUUCUGACGUGCAAAUCGAUCGUCAAAUAUGGGCAUGGGGGCGAAAGACUAAUCGAACCUUCUAGUAGCUGGUUUCCGCCGAAGUUUCCCUCAGGAUAGCAGUGUUGAA